RNAcentral lists this ribosomal RNA (253 nucleotides) under uncultured bacterium. RNAcentral's name for it is "partial 16S ribosomal RNA". It matches the Rfam family "Bacterial small subunit ribosomal RNA", at positions 524 to 776 of the family's 1533-position model. The record is from RNAcentral.
UACGGAGGGGGCGAGCGUUGUUCGGACUUACUGGGCGUAAAGGGCGCGUAGGCGGUGACGUUAGUCGGGCGUGAAAGCCCCGGGCUCAACCUGGGAUGUGCGCUCGAUACUGCGUUGCUUGAGAGCGGAAGAGGGUAGUGGAAUUCCCAGUGUAGAGGUGAAAUUCGUAGAUAUUGGGAAGAACACCAGUGGCGAAGGCGGCUACCUGGUCCGUUUCUGACGCUGAGGCGCGAAAGCGUGGGGAGCAAACAGG